Amborella trichopoda is the source of this 320-nucleotide long non-coding RNA. RefSeq lists it as uncharacterized. The record is from RefSeq and is a predicted model, not a curated record. Lineage: Eukaryota; Viridiplantae; Streptophyta; Magnoliopsida; Amborellales; Amborellaceae.
UUGAAAUUUUGGAAGAGAGACCUUGAAUCUUGAUCUUGCAGGUGGAGGGUGGAGCACCAGAGUCCAGAUGAGAAAGAAAGAGCCAAGGUUCACUUUGAAAGACUUGAGCUGAGAAAAAAUGCAAUCAGGAGUCCUCAUUUUCACACCCUCCGGCUGAUGUUAGUUGUAUCAUAUCAUUAUAUACAGAAAGCUUUAUUGUUUUAUUUUUCUCACCCCUUCUACUAUCGGUAAUGUAAUGCCCUCUCUCUCAUGAUCAGCAUCCGAAGGCUUAAAGUGUGCAGUAGUUAUUGUUGUUGGUGGGUGGACUCUCUCUCUCUCUC